UGGGCGUAAGCGCGCGCAGGCGGUUCCUUAAGUCUGAUGUGAAAGCCCCCGGCUCAACCGGGGAGGGUCAUUGGAAACUGGGGAACUUGAGUGCAGAAGAGAAGAGUGGAAUUCCACGUGUAGCGGUGAAAUGCGUAGAGAUGUGGAGGAACACCAGUGGCGAAGGCGACUCUUUGGUCUGUAACUGACGCUGAGGCGCGAAAGCGUGGGGAGCAAACAGGAUUAGAUACCCUGGUAGUCCACGCCGUAAACGAUGAGUGCUAAGUGUUAGAGGGUUUCCGCCCUUUAGUGCUGCAGCAAACGCAUUAAGCACUCCGCCUGGGGAGUACGGCCGCAAGGCUGAAACUCAAAGGAAUUGACGGGGGCCCGCACACGCGGUGGAGCAUGUGGUUU
RNAcentral lists this ribosomal RNA (393 nucleotides) under Cytobacillus firmus. Its description in RNAcentral is "bacterial SSU rRNA". It matches the Rfam family "Bacterial small subunit ribosomal RNA", at positions 555 to 947 of the family's 1533-position model. Lineage: Bacteria; Bacillati; Bacillota; Bacilli; Caryophanales; Bacillaceae. The record is from RNAcentral.